AUGGAAGAAAUCAAGAGAUCAACUUUUAUUGAAUCAUAACAGUACAUGAACACUUUUACAUCCUGAAUUUUCCCCUCUCAUUCCACUGACAUCGUUCUCGGCCAAGUUAUUGGAACAAGGCAAAGAAAGACAAGAUCGAGGCACCAAUCAAGGAGCCAACAACGGGUAAGCUAGCGGCGGCUCCGGUGUCUGGGCCAGGAGCCGGGGCAGCCGAUGGCACCUCGGUGACGGCCAUUGCGGCGCUCAUGGAGGCGGCGGCGACGAGAACAGCACAAGAAAAAGUUUGGACGCUUCAAGCAUGUUUCCAUUGUGUCACAUAUGACGAUGAACACAGACCCCCCCGCCGGUUACGUUGAUUAUGUUAGAUUCUUUUGCUCGGCAAAGAAAGGACCGAAGAGGCCUAUCAGAACAAAGAAGUUUCCCGAAAUAAGGCUCUCAAGUCUCAACAACACCGUUGUUACGUCAACAAUGUUUUAGCUGGACCGAAAGCGAGGUAACACCAUCUUCAGUGACUGAGAAAAGAUAACCUAUGCAGUAAUCCAUUUUACUUCACUACAACGUCAUACCUUGUUCUCGACAAGUGUUCAAAACCCAACAUGUGAAUGAUCCAAGCCCAUCUUAGGAUAUUCAAGUCAAAUGUAGUUUAAGUCAUCUGUUCUUGAUUGUUCCAGUAAAUUGUAACGUAAAUGGCUCAAUGAGAAUGCGAUGCCACCCCGCAAAAUUUCUGGUUAUGAUUGGUCUUGUGGGACUCAACAGCCGUAACCCAAAAGGCAUGGUUACUUCAGAAAUGGUUAAUGUUUCACUUCAUGUACCUCUUACCAUAUUGAAAAGGAAGUCUUUUCACAUGCGCUCCCCACCCCAACCCCCCCCCCCCAAAAAAAAAAGCCUAUAAAUUCAACACUUGGCUCUCUUCUGUACUAAAUAAUUCAGUCCCAACGCCCAAUAGUUUCUUUCCAGUCUCUUUGGACUUUAGCAUAACAGUGAUAU
Molecule: long non-coding RNA, 987 nt
Organism: Prosopis cineraria
Lineage: Eukaryota; Viridiplantae; Streptophyta; Magnoliopsida; Fabales; Fabaceae
Exons: 3
Source: RefSeq, a predicted model, not a curated record